Molecule: ribosomal RNA, 250 nt
Filed under: uncultured bacterium
Lineage: Bacteria
Description: partial 16S ribosomal RNA
Rfam family: Bacterial small subunit ribosomal RNA
Source: RNAcentral
GACGAACUGUGCAAACGUUAUUCGGAAUCACUGGGCUUAAAGGGUGCGUAGGCGGUCUGUUAAGUAGGGUGUGAAAUCCUCUGGCUCAACCAGAGAAUUGCGCCCUAAACUGUCAGGCUUGAGUGAGGCAGGGGUGUGUGGAACUUCCAGUGGAGCGGUGAAAUGUGUUGAUAUUGGAAGGAACGCCGGUGGCGAAAGCGACACACUGGGCCUUGUCUGACGCUGAGGCACGAAAGCCAGGGGAGCAAAC